GAUGAACGCUAGCGAUAGGCUUAACACAUGCAAGUCGAGGGGCAGCACAAGGUAGCUUGCUAUCUGGGUGGCGACCGGCGCACGGGUGCGUAACGCGUAUGCAACUUGCCCUAUACAGGAGGAUAACCCGUCGAAAGACGGACUAAUACUGCGUAUGCUCACAACUUGGCAUCAAGUGGUGAGGAAACAAAUUCGGUAUAGGAUAGGCAUGCGUCCCAUUAGCUUGUUGGUGAGGUAACGGCUCACCAAGGCAACGAUGGGUAGGGGAACUGAGAGGUUUAUCCCCCAGACUGGUACUGAGACACGGACCAGACUCCUACGGGAGGCAGCAGUGAGGAAGAUUGGUCAAUGGGCGCGAGCCUGAACCAGCCAAGUCGCGUGAAGGAGGACUGUCUUAUGGAUUGUAAACUUCUUUUAGACGGGAAUAACAAGAGUCACGUGUGACUCCCUGCAUGUACCGUAUGAAUAAGCAUCGGCUAACUCCGUG
This 487-nucleotide ribosomal RNA is filed under the name uncultured bacterium. RNAcentral describes it as "partial 16S ribosomal RNA". It matches the Rfam family "Bacterial small subunit ribosomal RNA", at positions 28 to 507 of the family's 1533-position model. The record is from RNAcentral.